CAUGAGCUUGCUCUGGGACGGCUCCCAAAGCUACUUUUUAAUUACAAUCCACGUGAGAACACUGUGGCCAGAAGCUUCUAUUUUCCUGGCAUUUUCCUUCCAUUGGGGCCUCCCAACCUCAGGAGUUCCUCUGUAACAUGGCUAACUCCCCUAUUCUUUCCUCCUAGACUUUACCUUGUGGGUUCAGAGAGGAGACUGCUGUUGCUAAGCCCUGCUGAGCAUCAUUUCUGGUGUGGCAGAGUUGACAAGCCACCUGCUUCUUCACUACUCCUGACUCAUCUCUGCAGAGCAGACCCACCUCACUUCUUGGACAUCACUAAAGAAUGUUCUGAUUCCUAAUCUGAAAAUAUGAAAUCCAUAGUGCUCUGAAAUCUGAAACUUUCUGAGCACCAACAUGACACCACGUGUAAGAAAUUCCCCUUGUGAGUACUUAACACAAACUUUGUUUCAUGUGCAAAAUCACUUAAAAUAGUUUGUAGAAUUAACUUCAGGCUAUAUGUAUAAGGUAUAUAUGAAGCAUAACUGAAUUAUACAUUUAGUUUGGGGUUCCAUUCCCAGGAUAUCUCAUGUAUAUGUAAAUAUUCCCGAAUCUGAAAUAAUCAGAAAUCCAAAACACUUCUUGGCCCAAGCAUUUUGGAUAAGGAUACUCAACCUGUCAGUUGAAUAUAAAAUAUUUUUCUUUGAUAGUUCUACAUGCCACAAAUUUUUCUGACUCCAAACAAGCCUAUGUCACUCUUGCCUCAGAUAUGUGUGAUUUGAAGCUUAGCAGAAAACCUGCCUCCCACUUUUUCUAGACUGUUUUCUAGGUAUAAUGCAGAUAACUUGUAAAAUAAUGUUCUAGGGUGUAAUAUAUAAAUCCUGCCUAGGCAAAAGCAAAAGGUGCAGGAAAGGACUCUAGGUUUAACUUCUAACUGGCUUACUCAUGCUUCUCUCCAAGAGAAAAGCCAAAAAUGUGCCCCCAAGGUGGAUGCCUGGUUAGUCAAUUAUGGGUAAGACUCUGUGCAACACAAGAGCAACCUAAGACAGGCACAGCCGUAGGGAGGCGAACAAAGGCUAAAUUCAUACAAAAAGCCAGUCUGCUCCCAUGAAGGAAUUGAGCAGCACUAGAAGCAGAUACACCAGCAGCGUAAUUGACAGGAAAGUAAGUUGCAGUGAGGUGAGCAAAGGCUAAAUUCAUACUGGGAGCAGAUGCACCAGCAGUGUACUUGACAGGCAGGCAAGUAAGUUUCCUGUGUGCCCCCCAGGUGGAUGGCUGGUUAGCCAAUGACGGGUAAGAGUCUCUGAAAGAUGAGAGCAACCUAAGACAGGCACAGCCACGGGGAGGCCAGCAAAGGCUAAAUUCAUACUGAGAGCAGAUGCACCAGCAGCUUACUUGAAAGGCAGGCAAGUAAGUUGCCUGUGUGUCCCCCAGGUGGAUGGCUGGUUAGCCAAUGACAGGUAAGACUCUCUGAAAGAUGAGAGAAACCUAAGACAGACACAGCCACGGGGAGGCCAGCAAAGGCUAAAGUCAUAUGAAAAGCCAGUCUACUUCUAUGAAGUACAGGAGCAGCACUAGGAGCAAAUACACAGGCAAGGUAAUUCCCAGGCAAGCAAGUUGCCUAUGAAGAGACUUGGACUCUGCAUUCUGUGCAUAAAAAAGGAUGUAAAAGCUUUCUGAUAAUAGUAUCUAGAUUUUAAAAGGAAGCUUUUAAAGGCAGAAAAUGUGGAAGGAAAUGAAAGUGAAGUGGAAUAGAAUAUAGUUUAAAUAAUAAGCAUAUAAGUGGUAGUUAAAUAAAAGUACAAGUAAAGCAGAGUGGGAACCCCUCUCUUUACAUAGAUAAGCACACUGGAGCACAUAUAUAAGUGUGCAACAAGCACAUUUCUGCAUUUCCUGUUCUUCUGAUCUCCCUGGAUCACCUCCCCCCACCUUUUUACCCCUUACCUUUAAACACUUCAGGAUGUAUAUUCUAAGAAUGUCAACUUAGGUUUUGAAAGAAAUCAAGACUGAAUGUGUUUCACUUAGUGAUAUAGGUAGGCUGUAUUAGACCCUUAGGUUGCCUGAUGGUCAAAUGCACUUAUCUUUCCUCCUACCAUAUAAGACCUUCCAUGUUCAUAUUUGAUAUUUAUUGCUUGGAACAUUCCAACAUACAAACUAGAUUCAUGCAAACAAAAACACUCUGAGUAUAAAAGAGACCUACUGAGGUUUUAUGGAUACAAAAAGAGCUACGAAAGAGGAUGAAUGAAAACAGAACAGUGGAGCAGCAAUUGUGUUUGCCUAGGGGAAAUUUAAUGAUUGGAUCAAGUGGUCCUUAGUAUGUCUGAUCGUAACGGAUCAUAUGGCCUUGGAAAUUGGGAAGUAGGCCCAGAUUAUGUUCUGAGAUGGACUUUAUGGACAACUUCCUUUGUUUCUUAAAACAUCCACAUCUGCCACUGAAAAAAAGCAGUAUUUCACAUUGUAUAUACGUUGUACAUACAUAAUGUAAAAGUAGAAGGGAUUUCAAAAUCGCCCUGUUUAUAUACAUUAUGUCAAAGUAGAAGGGAUUUCAAAAUCGCCCUGCGUGCUCUUACUGGGUUACCAUUGUGUUGUUAAAGUGCUUUGCAACUUGAAAGAGCUAUUGAGAAUAAAGUUUGUUAUGAGAGAUCAUUGCAGCUUAUGGUUGUUAAUGUUGUGACAGUGGAGAACGUGGCCUUUUGGGAAUGGGCUUCCAGGGACCAAUGUAAGAUGUAUAUGUUUGAAAUAGGGUAAAAAAUCAAGGUAUUCAAAGUUGCAGGACAGACUUUUAGAUUUAAUAUUUUUAGUGUAUUCAGGUUUGGAAUUUGUUUUAUGUUUUUUUGUUAGAGAUGGGUUCUCAUUCUAUUGCCCAGGCUGGAGCACGGUGGUGUAGUCAUAGCUCACUAUAUCCUUGAACUGCUGGGCUCAAGCAAUCCUCUCACCUCAGCCUCUUGAGUAGCUGGGACUACAUGCAUGAGCCAC
Molecule: long non-coding RNA, 2953 nt
Filed under: Callithrix jacchus (white-tufted-ear marmoset)
Lineage: Eukaryota; Metazoa; Chordata; Mammalia; Primates; Cebidae
Description: lncRNA (ENSCJAG00000076788.1)
Source: RNAcentral